GCCUUUGAAAGAUGGUUUCGGCUAUCGCUUACAGAUGGGCCCGCGGUGCAUUAGCUAGUUGGUAGGGUAAUGGCCUACCAAGGCAACGAUGCAUAGCCGACCUGAGAGGGUGAUCGGCCACACUGGGACUGAGACACGGCCCAGACUCCUACGGGAGGCAGCAGUAGGGAAUCUUCCGCAAUGGACGAAAGUCUGACGGAGCAACGCCGCGUGUAUGAAGAAGGUUUUCGGAUCGUAAAGUACUGUUGUUAGAGAAGAACAAGGAUAAGAGUAACUGCUUGUCCCUUGACGGUAUCUAACCAGAAAGCCACGGCUAACUACGUGCCAGCAGCCGCGGUAAUACGUAGGUGGCAAGCGUUGUCCGGAUUUAUUGGGCGUAAAGCGCGCGCAGGCGGUCUUUUAAGUCUGAUGUGAAAGCCCCCGGCUUAACCGGGGAGGGUCAUUGGAAACUGGAAGACUGGAGUGCAGAAGAGGAGAGUGGAAUUCCACGUGUAGCGGUGAAAUGCGUAGAUAUGUGGAGGAACACCAGUGGCGAAGGCGACUCUCUGGUCUGUAACUGACGCUG
Molecule: ribosomal RNA, 565 nt
Filed under: Listeria innocua
Lineage: Bacteria; Bacillati; Bacillota; Bacilli; Caryophanales; Listeriaceae
Description: bacterial SSU rRNA
Rfam family: Bacterial small subunit ribosomal RNA
Source: RNAcentral